This 31-nucleotide transfer RNA is filed under the name Apodemus alpicola (alpine field mouse). RNAcentral describes it as "partial tRNA-Thr". Lineage: Eukaryota; Metazoa; Chordata; Mammalia; Rodentia; Muridae. The record is from RNAcentral.
CAAAAAUGAAGGACUAUAUCUUCUCAGGNCA